AUCACCAAAAUCCAUAGAAAUCCAUCUAUACAUGUUUUAAAUGAGCCAAUUCUAUUCUUUUGAUUGAUGUGGUUAUAAUUUUUAAAACAAUUAAUUAGCUUAAUUACUAAGGUACAGAACCUUUGUAGGGCACUUGUUUACCAUAAUUGUAAGUUUAGAACAUUUGGUUAACAUAAUUAUAAGUUUGGUCGACAAAAUUUAAAUUUUUUAAAAUCAAUUUUAGACUUUGGCUAUAAUUGUACCCAAUGUGAAAUUUUGG
RNAcentral lists this unclassified non-coding RNA (259 nucleotides) under Hevea brasiliensis (rubber tree). Lineage: Eukaryota; Viridiplantae; Streptophyta; Magnoliopsida; Malpighiales; Euphorbiaceae. The record is from RNAcentral.